AAAAUGGAUAGGGUAAAUAAAUAAAAAAACAAGUGAAAUUAAAACAAUGGAAAAGAACGAGGGACCAAUAGUGCUAAUAGCCCUCACAGACCUAGAGUACGCGGAUCUGGUCCGGCUCGGGUCAGAUCAUCGGGUCGGGCAUGCCUUUGUUGAUGCGGCGCCGUUUCUUUCACUGCAUAUAUGUAAAAAACCAAAAAGUAAUAGCUAUUCAUCAUUUUAUUUGAAACCGAAAGAAAACCUAGAAGCCUAAAGCACUAUCCCUACGCCACUUCAUGCCCCGGCCGUUCAGAGGCCUCUGAACCCUCGCUCAUUCUCCAAUUGCAACGGAGAGAACAAGCAUUCGGCCUCGAGGUGUACGGUGGCCGUACGGUGACGUAGAGGGCGGUGCACGUGCGAGGGGAGGUCCUAGUGGCUGCGGCGCUGGAGGCUCGCGCUGUUAGGGUUUCGGCUCUAUUUUUUUUAAUGUAAUGGGCUUAGGGUUAGGUUAGUGGGCUAGGUGCACUGGGCCAUUUGGGUUUAAUUUUUAAUGGGCUGCCAAUUUGGGUUGAUUGGGCUUUUUAGAUAGUGGGCUAUUAUAUUUGGACAUUUGGACUGUUAUUAAUUUUGUUUGGUUUAUUUUAUUGUUUUGAUUUGAUUUUAUAUUACGGGCCGGGCAAAUUGGCCUAUUACAAUCAUUAUAUUAUUAGUAAUACUAUUUUAUAGUUCCCAUUGUUUUA
Molecule: long non-coding RNA, 716 nt
Organism: Gossypium raimondii (Peruvian cotton)
Lineage: Eukaryota; Viridiplantae; Streptophyta; Magnoliopsida; Malvales; Malvaceae
Exons: 2
Source: RefSeq, a predicted model, not a curated record